UGGGGAAUAUUGCGCAAUGGGCGAAAGCCUGACGCAGCAACGCCGCGUGGGGGAUGAAGGUUCUCGGAUUGUAAACCCCUUUCGAUCGGAACGAAUCUCCUCUUGGUAAAUAAUCAGGAGGAUCGACGGUACCGGGAGAAGAAGCCACGGCUAACUCUGUGCCAGCAGCCGCGGUAAGACAGAGGUGGCGAGCGUUGUUCGGAUUUAUUGGGCGUAAAGCGAACGCAGGUGGUUUGGUAAGUCAGAGGUGAAAGACCACAGCUUAACUGUGGCACUGCCUUUGAUACUGCCUUUCUAGAGUGCAUGAGGGGGAAGCGGAAUUCCGAGUGUAGAGGUGAAAUUCGUAGAUAUUCGGAGGAACACCGGUGGCGAAGGCGGCUUCCUGGCAUGUAACUGACACUCAUGUUCGAAAGCGUGGGUAGCAAACAGGAUUAGAUACCCUGGUAGUCCACGCCCUAAACGAUGGGCACUAGGUGUGGGAGGUAUCGACCCCUUCCGUGCCGCAGCUAACGCAUUAAGUGCCCCGCCUGGGGAGUACGGCCGCAAGGUUG
This 551-nucleotide ribosomal RNA is filed under the name uncultured bacterium. RNAcentral describes it as "bacterial SSU rRNA". It matches the Rfam family "Bacterial small subunit ribosomal RNA", at positions 355 to 896 of the family's 1533-position model. The record is from RNAcentral.